Agrilus planipennis (emerald ash borer) is the source of this 466-nucleotide long non-coding RNA. RefSeq lists it as uncharacterized. The record is from RefSeq and is a predicted model, not a curated record. NCBI's taxonomy places the organism in Eukaryota, Metazoa, Arthropoda, Insecta, Coleoptera, Buprestidae. The transcript is spliced from 2 exons.
UAUUAAUAAAAACGUUAAUCAUUACUUACAGCUUGGUCCUAAUGUCAGCAUAGGUCGUAAUGUUACCAUUGGUCCAGGUGUUCGAGUAAGAGAAAGUAUUAUUCUAAACGGAGCCGUUAUAGAAAGUCAUAGUCUUAUACGACACAGUAUUAUAGGCCAAAAUUCUAGAAUUGGUCGCUGGACACGAGUUGAAGGCACUCCCACCGAUCCCGAUCCUAAUAAACCCUUCGCCAAAAUGGAAAAUCCUCCUUUAUUCAAAGAAGACGGCAGGAUGCAUCCGUCCAUUACUGUUUUAGGUGGAGAUGUUAAUGUUCGUUCUGAAACAAUUUUACUUAACUCAAUCGUACUGCCGCACAAGGAACUCACACGCAGUUUCAAGAAUGAAAUUAUACUGUAAUUAGUACGAAAAAUAUUUUUUUAAUCAGCAUAAUUGUCUAUGAAACAAUAAAAGGUAUUCAAAAAGCAA